RNAcentral lists this transfer RNA (75 nucleotides) under Brachymystax lenok tsinlingensis (Tsinling lenok trout). Its description in RNAcentral is "tRNA-Leu". It matches the Rfam family "tRNA". Rfam says of the family: Transfer RNA (tRNA) molecules are approximately 80 nucleotides in length. Their secondary structure includes four short double-helical elements and three loops (D, anti-codon, and T loops). The record is from RNAcentral. RNAcentral also lists the same sequence under 2 other names. Lineage: Eukaryota; Metazoa; Chordata; Actinopteri; Salmoniformes; Salmonidae.
GCUAAGGUGGCAGAGCCCGGUAAUUGCGAGAGGCCUAAGCCCUCUUUCUCAGAGGUUCAAGUCCUCUCCUUAGCU